This 253-nucleotide ribosomal RNA is filed under the name uncultured bacterium. RNAcentral's name for it is "partial 16S ribosomal RNA". It matches the Rfam family "Bacterial small subunit ribosomal RNA", at positions 524 to 776 of the family's 1533-position model. The record is from RNAcentral.
UACGGAGGGUGCGAGCGUUGAUCGGAAUAACUGGGCGUAAAGGGCGCGUAGGCGGGCUUUUAAGUGAGAUGUGAAAUCCCCGGGCUUAACCUGGGAAUAGCAUUUCAGACUGGGGGUCUAGAGUACUGUAGGGGGAGGUGGAAUUCCAGGUGUAGCGGUGAAAUGCGUAGAGAUGUGGAGGAAUACCGGUGGCGAAGGCAGCCCCCUGGGCAGGUACUGACGCUCAGGUGCGAAAGCGGGGGGAGCAAACAGG